This is a long non-coding RNA of Varroa destructor (honeybee mite), 646 nucleotides long. RefSeq lists it as uncharacterized. The record is from RefSeq and is a predicted model, not a curated record. NCBI's taxonomy places the organism in Eukaryota, Metazoa, Arthropoda, Arachnida, Mesostigmata, Varroidae.
UUCUACUAUUAGUCAUUAUUCAGCCACGACACGUAUAACAUCGUUAAUAAGCUCUUGUUCUGAAAGGGAUCAGGAUUUUCGUUUUCGAAGAACGGCUUACUUGUGUUGUGUUAGCAGAUUUGGAAUUUGUCCCAGAAUAGGAUAACUUACAAACGAAUGCUCCGAGAUAAUGUUCAACGUCUAUUUCUGACGCUACAAGUUAUUGUGGCGAACUUAAUCUGCUGAGUGGUCUCCAAUGCGCAACGUGAAUUAGGAUUGUAUCAAUAUUGUGAUGAUUACAGUGUAGAUGUUUGAUGUCAAUACACGUGUCAGAAAGUUACCCAAUAACAACUUACCACGAUCUGCUUCUGACAAGAAUAAGGCAAAACGUCUUACAUACAUCUAGUGCGCCUAAAUGCAAACCAUGCCCUAUGAAUGCGCACCUUUCGAGACCUUCAAAGGUUCCUGGAACAAAGCUCGUCAAGAUCAGGCCGCAAAUUGUUUCAAAAAGUAAGGAUUUGCGUGACCUGCAAACAAGGUACGUGCCAUGCAGAUCACGGCAGUACAACAAUCGCUAUUAGAAGAAUCGGAGGCCUAAGAUUGAAAAUAGCUUUAACGCAAAGGCAGGUCUGCCUACAUAAUACGACUGUUCGAUGCAAACAUUCAC